RNAcentral lists this unclassified non-coding RNA (260 nucleotides) under fungal sp. RNAcentral's name for it is "partial internal transcribed spacer region". The stretch from base 1 to 46 matches the Rfam family "Eukaryotic small subunit ribosomal RNA", at positions 1786 to 1831 of the family's 1831-position model. The record is from RNAcentral. Lineage: Eukaryota; Fungi.
AAGUCGUAACAAGGUUUCCGUAGGUGAACCUGCGGAAGGAUCAUUAACUUGAUUAAUAAUCUUCUUUUAUAAUUGGAUAUCAUAUAACCUAACUGCUGGGGGCAUAUUUUAAAAAAUUUAUAAAAAUUUUUCUCUCCGCUGGGGGCCAUAUUUAUUUUAAAAAGUUUAAUUUAUUUAAUUGUGCAAAUUAUACUAUUUUUUAUAGUUAGUGAUGGAUAAAGUUUCUAAAAAAACUUUCAACAAUGGAUCUCUUGGCUCUU